Molecule: ribosomal RNA, 468 nt
Filed under: uncultured bacterium
Lineage: Bacteria
Description: partial 16S ribosomal RNA
Rfam family: Bacterial small subunit ribosomal RNA
Source: RNAcentral
GACGAACGCUGGCGGCGUGCUUAACACAUGCAAGUCGAACGGAAAGGCCCUGCUUUUGUGGGGUGUUCGAGUGGCGAACGGGUGUGUAACACGUGAGUAACCUUCCCUUUACUUUGGGAUAACUUCAGGAAACUGGUGCUAAUACCUGAUAGGAGCUCCUGCUGCAUGGUGGGGGUUGGAAAGUUUCGGCGGUUGGGGAUGGACUCGCGGCUUAUCAGCUUGUUGGUGGGGUAGUGGCUUACCAAGGCUUUGACGGGUAGCCGGCCUGAGAGGGUGACCGGCCACAUUGGGACUGAGAGACGGACCAGACUCCUACGGGAGGCAGCAGUGGGGAAUAUUGCACAAUGGGCGGAAGCCUGAUGCAGCAACGCCGCGUGCGGGAUGAAGGCCUUCGGGUUGUAAACCGCUUUCGCCUGUGACGAAGCGUGAGUGACGGUAAUGGGUAAAGAAGCACCGGCUAACUACGUG